This 495-nucleotide ribosomal RNA is filed under the name uncultured bacterium. RNAcentral's name for it is "bacterial SSU rRNA". It matches the Rfam family "Bacterial small subunit ribosomal RNA", at positions 28 to 520 of the family's 1533-position model. The record is from RNAcentral.
GACGAACGCUGGCGGCGUGCUUAAUACAUGCAAGUCAACUGAACUUAAGAUAGCAAUAUUUUAAGGGAGGUGGCGCACGGGUGAGUAACACGUAGGUAAUCUGCCUUUAGGUCUGACACAACCCCGAGAAAUCGGGGCUAAUAUCAGAUGAUGCAGCGGCUCGACAUCGAGACAGUUGUUAAACCUUCGGGGCCUAAAGAUGAGCCUGCGUCUGAUUAGCUGGUUGGCGGGGUAACGGCCCACCAAGGCAACGAUCAGUAGCUGGUCUGAGAGGAUGAUCAGCCACACUGGAACUGAGACACGGUCCAGACUCCUACGGGAGGCAGCAGUAAGGAAUAUUGCUCAAUGGCCGAAAGGCUGAAGCAGCAACGCCGCGUGGAGGAUGAAAUACUUUGUAUGUAAACUCCUGUGAGAAGGGAAAAAUAUAGCAGAUUUUCUGCGUUGAUUGUACCUUCUAGAGGAAGCCCCGGCUAACUACGUGCCAGCAGCCGACGG